RNAcentral lists this ribosomal RNA (209 nucleotides) under uncultured bacterium. RNAcentral's name for it is "partial 16S ribosomal RNA". It matches the Rfam family "Bacterial small subunit ribosomal RNA", at positions 568 to 774 of the family's 1533-position model. The record is from RNAcentral.
UGCGUAGGCGGCGCGGUAAGUCGGGUGUGAAAUCUCGGAGCUCAACUCCGAAACUGCAUUCGAUACUGCCGUGCUUGAGGACUGGAGAGGAGACUGGAAUUUACGGUGUAGCGGUGAAAUGCGUAGAUAUCGUAAGGAAGACCAGUGGCGAAGGCGGGUCUCUGGACAGUUCCUGACGCUGAGGCACGAAGGGUCAGGGGAGGCAAACG